GACGAACGCUGGCGGCGUGCUUAACACAUGCAAGUCGAACGGAAAGGCCUCUUUCGGGGGGUACUCGAGUGGCGAACGGGUGAGUAACACGUGAGUAACCUGCCCUUUACUUUGGGAUAACUUCAGGAAACUGGGGCUAAUACCGGAUAGGAGCUCCUGCUGCAUGGUGGGGGUUGGAAAGUUUCGGCGGUUGGGGAUGGACUCGCGGCUUAUCAGCUUGUUGGUGGGGUAGUGGCUUACCAAGGCUUUGACGGGUAGCCGGCCUGGGAGGGUGACCGGCCACAUUGGGACUGAGAUACGGCCCAGACUCCGACGGGAGGCAGCAGGGGGGAAUAUUGCACAAUGGGUGGAAGCCUGAUGCAGCAACGCCGUGUGCGGGAUGACGGCCUUCGGGUUGGAAACCGCUUUCGCUCAUGACGAAGCUUUGUGUGACGGUAGUGGGUAAAGAAGCACCGGCUAACUACGUG
This 467-nucleotide ribosomal RNA is filed under the name uncultured bacterium. RNAcentral describes it as "partial 16S ribosomal RNA". It matches the Rfam family "Bacterial small subunit ribosomal RNA", at positions 28 to 507 of the family's 1533-position model. The record is from RNAcentral.